This 484-nucleotide ribosomal RNA is filed under the name uncultured bacterium. RNAcentral describes it as "partial 16S ribosomal RNA". It matches the Rfam family "Bacterial small subunit ribosomal RNA", at positions 30 to 507 of the family's 1533-position model. The record is from RNAcentral.
AUUGAACGCUGGCGGCAGGCCUAACACAUGCAAGUCGAGCGGAUGAAGGGAGCUUGCUCCUGGAUUCAGCGGCGGACGGGUGAGUAAUGCCUAGGAAUCUGCCUGGUAGUGGGGGAUAACGUCCGGAAACGGGCGCUAAUACCGCAUACGUCCUGAGGGAGAAAGUGGGGGAUCUUCGGACCUCACGCUAUCAGAUGAGCCUAGGUCGGAUUAGCUAGUUGGUGGGGUAAAGGCCUACCAAGGCGACGAUCCGUAACUGGUCUGAGAGGAUGAUCAGUCACACUGGAACUGAGACACGGUCCAGACUCCUACGGGAGGCAGCAGUGGGGAAUAUUGGACAAUGGGCGAAAGCCUGAUCAAGCCAUGCCGCGUGUGUGAAGAGGGUCUUCGGAUUGUAAAGCACUUUAAGUUGGGAGGAAGGGCAGUAAGUUAAUACCUUGCUGUUUUGACGUUACCAACAGAAUAAGCACCGGCUAACUUCGUG